ACGAACGCUGGCGGCAGGCUUAACACAUGCAAGUCGAGCGCCCCGCAAGGGGAGCGGCAGACGGGUGAGUAACGCGUGGGAAUCUACCGUGCCCUACGGAAUAACGCAUGGAAACGUGUGCUAAUACCGUAUACGCCCUACGGGGGAAAGAUUUAUCGGGGUAUGAUGAGCCCGCGUUGGAUUAGCUAGUUGGUGGGGUAAAGGCCUACCAAGGCGACGAUCCAUAGCUGGUCUGAGAGGAUGAUCAGCCACAUUGGGACUGAGACACGGCCCAAACUCCUACGGGAGGCAGCAGUGGGGAAUAUUGGACAAUGGGCGCAAGCCUGAUCCAGCCAUGCCGCGUGAGUGAUGAAGGUCUUAGGAUUGUAAAGCUCUUUCACCGGUGAAGAUAAUGACGGUAACCGGAGAAGAAGCCCCGGCUAACUUCGU
This 429-nucleotide ribosomal RNA is filed under the name uncultured bacterium. RNAcentral describes it as "bacterial SSU rRNA". It matches the Rfam family "Bacterial small subunit ribosomal RNA", at positions 29 to 506 of the family's 1533-position model. The record is from RNAcentral.